GAUGAACGCUGGCGGCGUGCCUAAUACAUGCAAGUCGAGCGAACAGAUGAGGAGCUUGCUCCUCUGACGUUAGCGGCGGACGGGUGAGUAACACGUGGAUAACCUACCUAUAAGACUGGGAUAACUUCGGGAAACCGGAGCUAAUACCGGAUAAUAUAUUGAACCGCAUGGUUCAAUAGUGAAAGACGGUUUUGCUGUCACUUAUAGAUGGAUCCGCGCCGCAUUAGCUAGUUGGUAAGGUAACGGCUUACCAAGGCGACGAUGCGUAGCCGACCUGAGUGGGUGAUCGGCCACACUGGAACUGAGACACGGUCCAGACUCCUACGGGAGGCAGCAGUAGGGAAUCUUCCGCAAUGGGCGAAAGCCUGACGGAGCAACGCCGCGUGAGUGAUGAAGGUCUUCGGAUCGUAAAACUCUGUUAUUAGGGAAGAACAAAUGUGUAAGUAACUAUGCACGUCUUGACGGUACCUAAUCAGAAAGCCACGGCUAACUACGUG
Molecule: ribosomal RNA, 497 nt
Filed under: uncultured bacterium
Lineage: Bacteria
Description: partial 16S ribosomal RNA
Rfam family: Bacterial small subunit ribosomal RNA
Source: RNAcentral